RNAcentral lists this ribosomal RNA (497 nucleotides) under uncultured bacterium. RNAcentral describes it as "partial 16S ribosomal RNA". It matches the Rfam family "Bacterial small subunit ribosomal RNA", at positions 28 to 507 of the family's 1533-position model. The record is from RNAcentral.
GAUGAACGCUGGCGGCGUGCCUAAUACAUGCAAGUCGAGCGAACAGACGAGGAGCUUGCUCCUCUGACGUUAGCGGCGGACGGGUGAGUAACACGUGGAUAACCUACCUAUAAGACUGGGAUAACUUCGGGAAACCGGAGCUAAUACCGGAUAAUAUAUUGAACCGCAUGGUUCAAUAGUGAAAGACGGUUUUGCUGUCACUUAUAGAUGGAUCCGCGCCGCUUUAGCUAGUUGGUAAGGUAACGGCUUACCAAGGCGACGAUGCGUAGCCGACCUAAGAGGGUGAUCGGCCACACUGGAACUGAGACGCGGUCCAGACUCCUACGGGAGGCAGCGGUAGGGAAUCUUCCGCAAAGGGCGAAAGCCUGACGGAGCAACGCCGCGUGAGUGAUGAAGGUCUUCGGAUCGUAAAACUCUGUUAUUAGGGAAGAACAAAUGUGUAAGUAACUAUGCACGUCUUGACGGUACCUAAUCAGAAAGCCACGGCUAACUACGUG